AAGACUUUCCCUCUGUAUCCAAAUUAACGAUCAGCCCCCAAUCGCCGAUCUAACGGCGUGUCGUUUAAGAUGGAUAUCGACGCGAAAAGGUUCGGCAGAGGGCCUCGGGAACUUGGUGCUGCUGCCGAUCUCAUAAAUCAGUUUAGGCUGUGUCCUUUUCAUGAAUUCUUUUGCAAAAAGUCGCUUCCUUUAUCAGAGACUCAUUAUCUUCAUAAUGUGGUGGGAGACACAAAAAUCAGGAAAGGGGAGGGGAUGGAAUUGGAUCAGCUGUUGCUAAAGACCCCUCAUACGAGAGAAAGGAAGGCAAACAUACAUCCUUUUGAUUUCGGUAUGCUUAGUGAAGCUUUUCGAAUUAAGGAGACAACUCGUGUUCAUUUACAUUCGGUCGAGAAAGGGAUUCUGACAGAUUACAAGGAAAGGAAGCAUAAAAAGAACAAAAACAAGAAUAAGGAUCGUAAGAAGCACAAUCACAUAGACAACGGCGGUGAUGCUGAUGAAACCAUUAAAAAUAUUACUAAUGUCUUGGAAACUGUGCAGUCGAAGGAACAGCCAGAUAGGAAGAGGAGGCUCAAUGGUCCUGAAGAUCUUUAUGUCCGUGAAAAUAAAAGAGUCAGAACCCAAAGACACUGAAAAUGGAUCUCUAAAGGUGACGCCAUGACGGGUUGAAGACACAUUGCCUACAUUUGUCUGGAUUUUACAACCUGCUCAAAGUUCUUCAGUCAACAAUUACUUUGGAUUCACUGCUUUGAAUCCACGCAAUAUCCUGUGGAGUUGAAGGAUACAUUGGUCACAGCUUUUCUCUCCAUUUUUUUUCCUUUUCCGAAAUUUUAAAUUCCGGAUUUGGAUGGCAAUGUGGGGCUGUGGAUUUGAUUCCAGAUUAAUGGAAAUGUUCAAAGCCAUGUUGAUCUCAAACUAGAACAACCAGUUGCCGACGAUAUAUUUUGUCUCGUGAAAUUCAUUUGGAUUUGAGGAGGACCCAACGGCUUUUACGCAGACAUUUUCUGACCA
Argentina anserina (silverweed cinquefoil) is the source of this 1008-nucleotide RNA transcript. It is a transcript of the gene named mediator of RNA polymerase II transcription subunit 19a-like, with no coding region annotated. Lineage: Eukaryota; Viridiplantae; Streptophyta; Magnoliopsida; Rosales; Rosaceae. The record is from RefSeq and is a predicted model, not a curated record. The transcript is spliced from 7 exons.